This 72-nucleotide transfer RNA is filed under the name Phanerochaete sordida. RNAcentral's name for it is "tRNA-Pro". It matches the Rfam family "tRNA". Rfam says of the family: Transfer RNA (tRNA) molecules are approximately 80 nucleotides in length. Lineage: Eukaryota; Fungi; Basidiomycota; Agaricomycetes; Polyporales; Phanerochaetaceae. RNAcentral also lists the same sequence under 1 other name. The record is from RNAcentral.
GGCUCAGUGGUCUAGUCGCAUGAUUCCUGCUUCGGGUGCAGGAGGUCCCGGGUUCAAUUCCCGGCUGAGCCC